RNAcentral lists this ribosomal RNA (990 nucleotides) under uncultured organism. RNAcentral's name for it is "bacterial SSU rRNA". It matches the Rfam family "Bacterial small subunit ribosomal RNA", at positions 14 to 1048 of the family's 1533-position model. The record is from RNAcentral.
UGAUCCUGGCUCAGGAUGAACGCUGGCGGUCUGCUUAACACAUGCAAGUCAAACGCAACCUUCGGGUUGAGUGGCGGACGGGUGAGUAACGCGUGAGAAUCUGCCUUGGGGUCGGGGACAACCACUGGAAACGGUGGCUAAUACCGGAUAAGCCUUUGGGUAAAAGAUUUAUUGCCCCAAGAGGAGCUCGCGUCUGAUUAGCUAGUUGGUGAGGUAAAAGCUCACCAAGGCAGCGAUCAGUAGCUGGUCUGAGAGGACGAUCAGCCACACUGGGACUGAGACACGGCCCAGACUCCUACGGGAGGCAGCAGUGGGGAAUUUUCCGCAAUGGGCGAAAGCCUGACGGAGCAAGACCGCGUGAGGGAGGAAGGCUCUUGGGUUGUAAACCUCUUUUCUCAGGGAAGAAGCUCUGACGGUACCUGAGGAAUCAGCCUCGGCUAACUCCGUGCCAGCAGCCGCGGUAAUACGGAGGAGGCAAGCGUUAUCCGGAAUUAUUGGGCGUAAAGCGUCCGCAGGUGGCGAUUCAAGUCUGCUGUCAAAGCACGGGGCUUAACUCCGUUAAGGCAGUGGAAACUGAAUAGCUAGAGUGCCGUAGGGGUAGAGGGAAUUCCCGGUGUAGCGGUGAAAUGCGUAGAGAUCGGGAAGAACAUCGGUGGCGAAAGCGCUCUACUGGACGGCAACUGACACUCAGGGACGAAAGCUAGGGGAGCGAAUGGGAUUAGAUACCCCAGUAGUCCUAGCUGUAAACGAUGGAUACUAGGUGUAGCUUGUAUCGACCCGAGCUGUGCCGAAGCUAACGCGUUAAGUAUCCCGCCUGGGGAGUACGCACGCAAGUGUGAAACUCAAAGGAAUUGACGGGGGCCCGCACAAGCGGUGGAGUAUGUGGUUUAAUUCGAUGCAACGCGAAGAACCUUACCAGGGCUUGACAUGUCCGGAAUCCCGGUGAAAGCUGGGAGUGCCUUCGGGAGCCGGAACACAGGUGGUGCAUGG